AAUAGGCUAAUUAAGAGCGUAAGGGGAAUGCCUUGGCUCUCAGAGGCGAUGAAGGACGUGAUAAGCUGCGAUAAGCUGUGGGGAGUGGCACAAACACUUUGAUCCGCAGAUUUCCGAAUGGGGUAACCCGGCAUAUUGAAGAUAUGUCACACUGUAAAGUGAGCGAACCUGGUGAACUGAAACAUCUAGGUAACCAGAGGAAUAGAAAACAAAAGUGAUUCCGCUAGUAGUGGCGAGCGAACGUGGAAUAGCCUAAACCUAUGUUGUUAAGGCAAUAUAGGGGUUGUAGGACCUCAACAUUUAAUGCUAAUAGAACUAGGAUUUACUGGAAAGUAAAACCAUA
Molecule: ribosomal RNA, 343 nt
Filed under: uncultured Flavobacteriaceae bacterium
Lineage: Bacteria; Pseudomonadati; Bacteroidota; Flavobacteriia; Flavobacteriales; Flavobacteriaceae
Description: bacterial LSU rRNA
Rfam family: Bacterial large subunit ribosomal RNA
Source: RNAcentral